UGCUUAACACAUGCAAGUCGAACGCUUCAUGGGCUUCGGUUCAUGGGGAGUGGCGCACGGGUGAGUAGCGCGUGGGAACCUGCCCUGUUGUGGGGGAUAACCGAGGGAAACCUCGGCUAAUACCGCAUAAGCCGGCCGGUCUAGCGAUAGAUUGGCUGGGAAAGAUUUAUCGCGACAGGAGGGGCCCGCGUCGGAUUAGCUAGUUGGUGGGGUAACGGCCUACCAAGGCGGUGAUCCGUAGCUGGUCUGAGAGGAUGAUCAGCCACACUGGGACUGAGACACGGCCCAGACUCCUACGGGAGGCAGCAGUGGGGAAUAUUGGACAAUGGGCGCAAGCCUGAUCCAGCAAUGCCGCGUGAGUGAGGAAGGCCUUAGGGUUGUAAAGCUC
Molecule: ribosomal RNA, 388 nt
Filed under: uncultured organism
Description: bacterial SSU rRNA
Rfam family: Bacterial small subunit ribosomal RNA
Source: RNAcentral